UCCGUAGGUGAACCUGCGGAGGGAUCAUUAUAGAGUUUUCUAAACUCCCAACCCAUGUGAACUUACCAUUGUUGCCUCGGCAGAAGCUGCUCGGUGCACCUUACCUUGGAACGGCCUACCCUGUAGCGCCUUACCCUGGAACGGCUUACCCUGCAACGGCUGCCGGUGGACUACCAAACUCUUGUUAUUUUAUGGUUAUCUGAGCGUCUUAUUUUAAUAAGUCAAAACUUUCAACAACGGAUCUCUUGGUUCUGGCAUCGAUGAAGAACGCAGCGAAAUGCGAUAAGUAAUGUGAAUUGCAGAAUUCAGUGAAUCAUCGAAUCUUUGAACGCACAUUGCGCCCAUUAGUAUUCUAGUGGGCAUGCCUGUUCGAGCGUCAUUUCAACCCUUAAGCCUAGCUUAGUGUUGGGAGCCUACUGCUUUUGCUAGCUGUAGCUCCUGAAAUACAACGGCGGAUCUGCGAUAUCCUCUGAGCGUAGUAAUUUUUAUCUCGCUUUUGACUGGAGUUGCAGCGUCUUUAGCCGCUAAACCCCCCAAUUUUUAAUGGUUGACCUCGGAUCAGGUAUGAAUACCCGCUGAACUUAAGCAUAUCAAUAAGCGGAGGA
This 605-nucleotide ribosomal RNA is filed under the name Pestalotiopsis microspora. RNAcentral's name for it is "eukaryotic LSU rRNA". The stretch from base 226 to 379 matches the Rfam family "5.8S ribosomal RNA". The record is from RNAcentral. Lineage: Eukaryota; Fungi; Ascomycota; Sordariomycetes; Amphisphaeriales; Sporocadaceae.